This 480-nucleotide long non-coding RNA is filed under the name Gallus gallus (chicken). RNAcentral's name for it is "long non-coding RNA NONGGAT006594". The record is from RNAcentral. Lineage: Eukaryota; Metazoa; Chordata; Aves; Galliformes; Phasianidae.
GCGGCGCACGUGGGGCGGUGCGGAGGGGCGGCGCCGGCUGUGUGACGUCACUGCCGCGCGGGAGAGGACGAGGGCGCCCCCUCGCGUGCGUGAGCGGACGGCGGCCCGGACUGCCGUCGUCCCUUCUGUACGGAGGACGGGAAAUCUCCAAAAACAAAGAUAACUGGAGAAUUUCUUGCUAUUACAGAAGCACGGGCCUCGUUCUGAGCCUUCCGAAGUGCCCACAAAGCCUUCUGCUGGUGUCAGAGGCUACGACGCUGCUAAAAGGCUCCUUCUCCCCGUCAGGCGGUCCACGGAUGAUCCAGAAAUGCAUGGGCUGGCCUGCAGGUCUCCCUCCCCAUGGCUGUGACAAACACAGGUCGCACUGCUCAGGCUGCAUUGUGCCGUCUACUCCAGAAACUGCUGACGGAAUGCUCCUCUCGCAAUGCAUCGCUGCUGUUCUGCAUCCUUGGCAGGAAAAUAGAGAAGUGGGUGACCGAG